This 253-nucleotide ribosomal RNA is filed under the name uncultured bacterium. RNAcentral's name for it is "partial 16S ribosomal RNA". It matches the Rfam family "Bacterial small subunit ribosomal RNA", at positions 524 to 776 of the family's 1533-position model. The record is from RNAcentral.
UACGUAGGGUGCAAGCGUUGUCCGGAAUUAUUGGGCGUAAAGAGCUCGUAGGCGGUUUGUCGCGUCUGCUGUGAAAACUCAGGGCUUAACCCUGAGCCUGCAGUGGGUACGGGCAGACUAGAGUGUGGUAGGGGAGAUCGGAAUUCCUGGUGUAGCGGUGGAAUGCGCAGAUAUCAGGAGGAACACCGAUGGCGAAGGCGGGUAGCUGGGCCGACACUGACGCUGAGACGCGAAAGCGUGGGGAGCGAACAGG